This 497-nucleotide ribosomal RNA is filed under the name uncultured bacterium. Its description in RNAcentral is "partial 16S ribosomal RNA". It matches the Rfam family "Bacterial small subunit ribosomal RNA", at positions 28 to 507 of the family's 1533-position model. The record is from RNAcentral.
GAUGAACGCUGGCGGCGUGCCUAAUACAUGCAAGUCGAGCGGACGGACGCGAAGCCUGCUUCUUUGUUGUUAGCGGCGGGCGGGUGAGUAACACGUGGAUAACCUACCUAUAUGACUGGGAUCAUCUCGGGACACCGGCUCUUAUACCAGAUGAUCUUUUGCACCGCAUGGUUCAAUAGAGAAUGUCGGUCUUGCUGUCUCUUAUAGCUGCUUCUGCGCUGCUUUAGCUAGUUGGUAAGGUAACGGCCUUUCAAGGCUACGAUGCAUAGCCGAACGGACAGGGUGAUAGGCCACAUGAGAGCUGGAACACGGACCAGAGUCCUACGGGAGGCAGCAGUAGGGAAUCUUCCGCAAUGGGCGGAAGCCUGACGGAGCAACCGCGCGUGUGUGAUGAAGGUCUUCGGAGCGUAAAACCCUGUUAUUGGGGAAGAACAGAUGUGGAAGGAGACGAAGAGAGAUUGACGGUACCGAAUCAAAAAGCAACGGCUAACUACGUG